UGCUUAUUCAGAGAGACCGAGGGAUCAGGCCCUAUGACGUCCGGCAACCUCCAUAAUGGAACGGUGCUACUUCCUGCAGAAUGAUGAUUCAUUCUGGAAGAUAAGUC
Molecule: non-coding RNA, 107 nt
Organism: Fictibacillus phosphorivorans
Lineage: Bacteria; Bacillati; Bacillota; Bacilli; Caryophanales; Fictibacillaceae
Source: Rfam